UGCCAGGCUAAUGACUUUUUAACUUUGUAUUUAGUUCUUCUAGCAAAUGUCAGCCUCCUAACAGGCAAAACUUGGUGGUGGAUGGUAGACUCGGUAAACACUUUACCUGCUGAGCAUCAGCUGAAGUGUUGUUAUUGGUUGAUACAGAAGGUCGAUGGUGAUGGUGUGUCUCUUAUCCAACAGGCUCCACUGAUUACAUCUGCUUUGCCCCAGUGGGAACCAAUGAUCCAGUUACUUCUGCUUUACACAUCAUAGUGGGCGAGUAAAAUUAUGAAUAGACUCGCAGCACCUAACAUGGCAGGUUGGCAUAACGUUUAAAUGUCAUGCUAUCAAUGAUGUGUUUGUUAAGACAACCUUUGAGUCUUUUAGUACAGCAGCUGGUUGUAGUUUCCUGUUCAUGUGCAUGUUGGGAGAGUCGGCUUUCUAUCCCUUGGUGCAUCUUAACAGGAGAUUCCCAACCGAUGGACGUGUGUUCAGUUCAUCACGAAGACAUCUUCCUUAGAUACUCUGUCUCGUUGCUUAGCUACAGUUUCAGCCAGAAAAAGUGAUGGCUGGGACCUGCGAGAUAUGACCUGUCAGGUAUGAGGGCCAUUAUUUUCUAAACUUGCGUGACUCUUCAGGCUAAGCCUACCCACACAUGUUAACCUUUUUCCCAAAACUCUUAGCUCACUGACCUCGUAGCUCACUGACCUUACACAGGGUAUUUUUAAUGUGAGGUAACCUUGAGCUUACCCCCGAGCUGUCUGGUCCUGCUCCGGGUCCAGACUUUGGAGGAUUAAGAUAUAAAUCUAACACACAGCCGAAAGCUUGUGGGUUUCGGUACAAGCAUUUGUGUGGCUCAGUAGUAGGACUCGACAACACAGAAAAGCUCGCCAAGAUGUUUCUUGCCAGUGAAGCUAAACGCUCGCACAGUGUAAGGAGCCUUCAAUAAACGCGUAAACCUUAAAAUCGGAGUUAUACAACUGAGCUAAAUUACUGAUGCCAACUGCACUGAUAACUAUUAACCAAAAAAACCCUGAAAAGUACAGGAUAAUAUGUGAAUGAAAAUGUCCCCAGUGUGACAUAUGUAAGACUUUUCCAUUGUGAAGUCAUAAUAUACUAGACUACUAGCUAGCUGUAUGUAUGAAGCUGUAUGUAGGCACAGCAGUGGUCUGCUCACAUCACAAGGACAGGGCUAAAAACCUAAUGUUAAGUAGUUAGCAUUUAUUUCAUUUUUUAUUAAUCAGGCCCCUGGGCUAACCAACACAAAAAAUAUUUUAAGUAAAAUUGUUUGUUAUUUUUACUACAGCUUAUUUCUGAAUGUAUUGUUUUUUUAUUUUUUUAAACAUCCUUGAGAAAAUAGAGAAAUUAGCAGAGAAAGAUAAUGCGGAUAUGUCACUUUAAGAACUAUAAUUAGGUGUAAAUUAAACACAACAAAUAAUAAUAAAUAUUGACAUGCAUUUUGUGGCCCGCAAUCUGUUUGUGUUCAAGGCGUAAAAACCUUUCUGAGUCACAACUACUAUGAAGGCACAAUCUCUUUCCUCCCUGCUGAGAACAACAUCGGGGACCCCAGGGACAAGCUUCAGUGUGGAUCCGGGUGCCACGUUUGUCAGCACAAGCCCUCGUCAAAAGACGUGCAGAGGGAGAUGUCACAGGAGAAGGAAAAGUCUGACAAAGUUUGACCACUCAAGGUCCACCGGGUGAGGACGUUUUUUUUCCCGCCGCGGCACAAUGACGUGGUUUCAAUAGAGGACCCGAUGGAGAGUCCGAAGAAAGACGAUGAGAUCCUGCCUGACGCUGCCAUCCAAGUCAGUGUCCAGUGCCAGUUGAUCAGGCUGUUUGCCCAGUAGCAGCAGCAGCAGCAGCAGCAAAAGAGAGAGCGAUUUGCUCUUGGAACGACUUUCCUGGAAAUCACAUCACUGGAAAUCCCAAACGCCGAGGUCACAUCCCUCCUCAUUGUGUUCUGGUCAAACAAAACUUACUGGAUGUCCUCUCAGUGCAGAGUAAGGGGUGUUAGAACAAGCUGGGAGGGCUCCCAUCAGCAGCCAUAAGGAAGCAAAAAGGCCAAGGAGAAGAUAGAGCUAUAUUGCAUGGUUUAUUGUUAGUGAAGAGAUAGUUAUCUCUCUCGGUGCAACAUUGCCUGAUGCAGCUUUUACAAAUCCAUAACAUCAUAUGCCAAUGCUGCCGUGUAGAAACCUCAGUUUUAAGGAUGAAAGAUUUUGAAGCCCAAAGGAUCUCAAGCCGCCAGAUGAAACGAAUGAACCGGACUGAGCCGGACUUAGCCGAAACAAUCGGUACUGCCAUGAAUGAGAACACAAAUAGGAUUUCUCCCUGUGUAGACAGCUGAGGAGAUACUGCUGGGUGAGAGGGACCAAGAAGAAAGGCCUCUGAAGCACACCUAUGAACUGACAAAAUGCCAAAAGAAGAAAAGGAAAAGAGAAUCAUGAAAACAGAUCUUCCCUCUCUUUGGGUAACGGCCCCCACACCCGUUUCAUCGUUGACCCAGGUAGAAGAAGAUAUGUGCCAGGAGCACUAAUGCAACCAGCGGAAUACCCUGCUAAUACACUAACAGGACCCCGGUGGAUUCUGGGUAAUAAGACAAAGUGGUUGCUAAGUGAUUUGGUGCGUCUCCGCGCUGCUGUGGUGCACCUGUGGCUCUGAGCUCUGCUCCUCCCUGGCCACUACGUCAGGUGACUCAUCACUUGGGAUUAACCAGAUCUACACACAGUUAACUGUAUUAAAGACAAUCUAUUGUGGGGCUCCUGAAUUAGACCCAUUAGACCCAUUAGACCCAUUUGUUUGUAAAGUCAGACCAUCGGGGGAUGCUCCCACUGCAUUAAUGGAAAAAAAGGGUUUUAACACAGUAACAAUACGUCAGGGUGUGUGUGUGUGUGUGUGUGUGAGAUAAAGUGUGUUAUCCACAAUCUUGUCACAUGCGUGUGUAAUCUUUGGAGUGUGUGCGCGUUGAUGUGGUCGUGAAGGUGCCAGCGUGAUGAGCAAUCAACCUCAUGAUAGCCGAUUCGCAGAUGCAUUCUCUGCAAAGACACACACUCCUUAACUUUUACCAGCAUAAAGCCUGUUCCUCUCUAUAAAUCCUUUCCAACUAAGUUAAUUCUGACUCUGGAUUUUUAUUAUGUUUCACCGCCAGUGUCCAUUUUUGUUGGUUUAAUGUUAUUUCUGUAAGUCGGAUGCUUUUAUA
This is a long non-coding RNA of Pungitius pungitius (ninespine stickleback), 3178 nucleotides long. RefSeq lists it as uncharacterized. The record is from RefSeq and is a predicted model, not a curated record. Lineage: Eukaryota; Metazoa; Chordata; Actinopteri; Perciformes; Gasterosteidae. The transcript has 4 exons.